This 269-nucleotide unclassified non-coding RNA is filed under the name Hevea brasiliensis (rubber tree). The record is from RNAcentral. Lineage: Eukaryota; Viridiplantae; Streptophyta; Magnoliopsida; Malpighiales; Euphorbiaceae.
AAAUUUUUGGGGAGAUAAUGAGGAUAAGUGGAAUGUUGAAGGACUGUGCUUAAAAUUCUUGCCAAGGCUGGAGGAAACAUGGGAGACAUUCCAAAAUGCAAUGCCAUCUCUCAAAUACUUGGAAGUCAGCCACUGCAAUUCGCUGAAAAACUUCAGAUGUAACGUUGAGGGUUUAGGAUAUUGGACAAAGCCAGAUGAAGAGGAGGAAAACAAGGAAGAUCAAGACGUUAUUUCGUGCCACGAAGGAGGUAAUGAAGGAGAAUUUGAUG